UACGUAGGACCCAAGCGUUAUCCGGAAUUACUGGGCGUAAAGAGUUGCGUAGGUGGCUUGGCAAGUAAGGUAUGAAAGCGUGUGGCUCAACCACAUAUCCAUACCUUAAACUGCCAAGCUUGAGCAUAGGAGAGGUAAUUGGAAUUCCCAGUGUAGGGGUGAAAUCCGUAGAUAUUGGGAGGAACACCGAUGGCGUAAGCAGAUUACUGGCCUAUUGCUGACACUCAGGCACGAAAGCGUGGGGAGCGAACGGG
This 254-nucleotide ribosomal RNA is filed under the name uncultured bacterium. RNAcentral's name for it is "partial 16S ribosomal RNA". It matches the Rfam family "Bacterial small subunit ribosomal RNA", at positions 524 to 776 of the family's 1533-position model. The record is from RNAcentral.